Long non-coding RNA from Vespa crabro (European hornet), 2870 nucleotides. RefSeq lists it as uncharacterized. The transcript is spliced from 3 exons. Lineage: Eukaryota; Metazoa; Arthropoda; Insecta; Hymenoptera; Vespidae. The record is from RefSeq and is a predicted model, not a curated record.
AUGAGAAAAAAGUUUAGCACGUUCGUCAGAGGUUAAAAACCAUAGUAACACAGGAACAGUUUCUCUCUUACGUCGCGAUCCACGUGUAUCAACACACACACACACACAUAUAUACACAUACAGAGAUACACACAUACAUACAUACAUUGACAUAGGUUAAUGCCAUCCGUACAUUACACAGACGGCGUUUUGGAUACUUUGCAAAUGACGCGGAGUGUCAUCUUCAUGCGGGGAGAAAAGGACGUGGAGUAUAAAAGCGUUCGCACGCGUACUUGCACGUUUCAAAUGUAAGGGUGGAGAAAAAGAAUGGAACGUGAAGAUAGACAGAGAUAGAUAGAUAGAACAAGAAAAAGAAUAAAGAAAGAGAUAGAGAGAGAGAGAGAGACAGAGAGAGGGAGAUAAAGAAAGAGAUAGAGAACGCAUCGGAGAGGAGACAUUCUCCAAAAGUUCGCAUAGAAUUGCGUAUGUGUUUGCACGACUCUUUGCUAAGUACGAUCUCCCCUUCGUUUCUCCUCUUUUUCCAUGUAUAAGUAUCACAUUCGCUCUUAACACGUAUACACAUAUACAUAAACACACGUACGUGUAUAUAUAUAUAUAUAUAUAUAUAUAUAUAUAUAUGGAUGUAUAUAUGUGAACUAACGCGUAGACGGACGAACGCGACAAAAGCGACGCGUCAGACCCUCCGUCGAGGGAUCGCUAAUGCAGCGGUUGCACGAUUUUAUCUCUCGCAUUCUUUAGCUAAAGGGCUGCUCCAGGCUGCGUUGGGAUCGAUCUGGGAAUAAAAGGUGAAUGAAGACGGCGACGAAGACGACAACGACAAUGACAACGGCAUCGUUUGCUUUAAGCUGGCACAAAAUAUCGGCUGGAAUCUUAUCGACUAUUAGAUCUCAUCUGAUUAGUAUUAGGAAUAAUGGUUUAAAGGGAUGGGUAAUAGGGUUCUCUGUAAAUGGACGAACGCAUUUUGUUGAAUCUUAAAUAACUACGGAGCUAAACAACGGUCGUUCUAAGCGUUAUGUUCUAACGUGCAAAGAGAGAAGAACAUCGUCCAAGGGCCGUCUGAAAAAUUGUUAAAAAUUUAAGUGCUUUAACGCAUUAAGAAGGAGGCAAGGAAGGGAAUGAAAUGAGAAAGAAAAAGAGAGAGAGAGAGAUAGAGAGAGAGAGAGAGAGAGAGAGAGUGAGUAUGUUCUUCUUAAUUAGUUUCGAGAAAAACUUUCGGCUCGUUCCCCUUUUUCGACCGUUGUCAACGAUUUUAGACUGAAAAAUGUAGAUGUAGAGAUAUUUUUUGGAUAUGUGAAUGUUUUCAUAUAUGUAUACCUACAUCUUUAUACGAUAUAUGUAUAACGUGAAUGUAUAAUGUGUGAAUGACCGUAAAAAGGAUGUUUUUUUCAUUUCUAAUUUCUUUUUCCUUUUUUAUUUUUUUUAUUUUUUUUCCUUUUUUUGAUUACGUUAGAUCUCACCAUCCUCAAAUUAGGUUUCGCCGGACGUUGAUGAGUCAGACAUAUUAAACGUUAAUAAAAUUGGUCAUGUUAAAAGAAUGUCGGAUCGCAUGGUAACUGACCAUUACACAUAACUAUACGCUUUCUUAUCGUAUACGUAUAAACAUUUUUGAAUUUGUACGUACGAAUUAAUAAUUAAAAGAAGACAAAAAAAAAGGAAGUAGGAAGUAAAAAACGCAGAAGUACGAAGCAUUGAAUUUUAUACGAUAAAAAGGAAUGCUGUAUAUAUAUGUGUGUGUGUGUGUGUGUGUGUGUGUGUGUGUGUGUCGAAUUAUUAUAGAAAGGAAUUAUUACAAUUUAAAAUAUAAAAAAGUAUUUUCAUGAAAAUAUAUGUCUGUUAUUAUAUAAAGUAUAGAAAUUUCCAUUUGCACGGAGAAUAAUAUUCCUAGCCUUCGGUAGGAAUAUUAAUUGCACGUAUUCAAUCAAUGAUAUAGAAAUGCGCGUGCUUUCUCUCUCUCUCUCUCUCUCUCUCUCUCACUCUAUAUAUAUAUAUAUAUAUAUGUAAUAUCAGUUUUAUGCAAAAUUGGUGGAAUUGUUAAUUGAAAUCGAUUGCUUUGAGAAGGAAAGAAAAAAAAAAAUGAAAAAAGAAGAAAGAAAAAUGAAACUAAAUAAAAGUGAAUUCCUUAAAAGCACGCUUAAAAUUAUUGAAAAUUCUAAGAAUUCCGUUGAAGGCCAUUUGAAGGUUGCAUUGUAAAUGGAUAUGAACAUCGUACUUGUAAAGAACAAAAUAAACUUUUGGAAUUGGUUAGAAAGAUAGAAAGAAAUGGAUAAAUAGAUAGAGAUAGAGAUAGAGAAAAAGAGAGAGAGAGAGAGAGAGAGAGAGAGAAAGAGAGAGAAAGAAAGAAAGAAAGAAAGAAAGGAAGGAAGGAAGAAAGAAAGAAAAAGAAUAGUUGCAUAGUAGACACGCUUCUGCGAAGUGCAUAUUAUCUCUGGACGCGAAAGGGGAGGACUUUGGGUGGUGCCCAUGUAGUAGGGGCUUUGGUAAGAGGUUCUGAAUAAUGCAUGAAGUGCGUUUCAUUUUUCUAUACCAUAGGACGAUACAAAGUUCUCUCGUCUCGGAGGACCCAAAACAAGCUACAAUCUCCGGCAGUCGAUGCUUUGUAAUCCCGUCGACCACGCAGUUUUCUUUCUCUCUCUCUUUUUCCCUCUCUCUCUCUCUCUCUCUUUCUCUCUCUCUUUCUCUCUUCCUUUACUCUUACCUUGUUCCCUUUUCCAUGAUUUAUGUUGUUGAAUUCGGAACGAAAUAGGAAUGUGCGUUCGUAAGAGUAAAAGAGUGCCCGAGUAAAGAUACCAUAGAUGUAUCUAUCGAUAGGUUUUAACUCCUGAAGGAACUUAUAGACGCGUGGGUGUGUUAUCUUGUAAAAUCGAAACGAA